AGUGAACGCUGGCGGUAGGCCUAACACAUGCAAGUCGAACGGCAGCACAGGAGAGCUUGCUCUCUGGGUGGCGAGUGGCGGACGGGUGAGGAAUACAUCGGAAUCUACUCUGUCGUGGGGGAUAACGUAGGGAAACUUACGCUAAUACCGCAUACGACCUACGGGUGAAAGCAGGGGAUCUUCGGACCUUGCGCGAUUGAAUGAGCCGAUGUCGGAUUAGCUAGUUGGCGGGGUAAAGGCCCACCAAGGCGACGAUCCGUAGCUGGUCUGAGAGGAUGAUCAGCCACACUGGAACUGAGACACGGUCCAGACUCCUACGGGAGGCAGCAGUGGGGAAUAUUGGACAAUGGGCGCAAGCCUGAUCCAGCCAUACCGCGUGGGUGAAGAAGGCCUUCGGGUUGUAAGCCCUUUUGUUGGGAAAGAAAUCCAGCUGGUGAAUACCCGGUUGGGAUGACGGUACCCAAAGAAUAAGCACCGGCUAACUUCGUGCCAGCCGCCGCGGUAA
This 505-nucleotide ribosomal RNA is filed under the name uncultured bacterium. Its description in RNAcentral is "partial 16S ribosomal RNA". It matches the Rfam family "Bacterial small subunit ribosomal RNA", at positions 29 to 523 of the family's 1533-position model. The record is from RNAcentral.